This 650-nucleotide ribosomal RNA is filed under the name Clostridium sp. Its description in RNAcentral is "partial 16S ribosomal RNA". It matches the Rfam family "Bacterial small subunit ribosomal RNA", at positions 1 to 673 of the family's 1533-position model. The record is from RNAcentral. Lineage: Bacteria; Bacillati; Bacillota; Clostridia; Eubacteriales; Clostridiaceae.
GGAUGAACGCNGGCGGCGNNNCUCAGGACGAACGCUGGCGGCGUGCCUAACACAUGCAAGUCGAGCGAGGGGAGUUCNNNGGAACAAGAUUAGCGGCGGACGGGUGAGUAACACGUGGGUAACCUGCCUCAUAGAGGGGAAUAGCCUCCCGAAAGGGAGAUUAAUACCGCAUAAAGUUANNNNNUCGCAUGAAGAGAUAACCNNAGGCUCCGGUGGUAUGAGAUGGACCCGCGUCUGAUUAGCUAGUUGGAGGGGUAACGNNNCACCAAGGCGACGAUGCGUAGCCGACCUGAGAGGGUGAUCGGCCACAUUGGAACUGAGACACGGCCCAGACUCCUACGGGAGGCAGCAGUGGGGAAUANUGCACAAUGGGGGAAACCUGAUGCAGCAACGCCGCGUGAGCGAUGAAGGCCUUCGGGUCGUAAAGCUCUGUCCUCGGACGAUAANGACGGUACCAAAGGAGGAAGCCACGGCUAACUACGUGCCAGCAGCCGCGGUAAUACGUAGGGGGCAAGCGUUAUCCGGANNUACUGGGCGUAAAGGGUGCGUAGGCGGUCUUUCAAGCCAGAAGUGAAAGGCUACGGCUCAACCCCAGGACUGCAUUGGAAACUGUUGUUCUAGAGUGCCGGAGAGGUAAGCGGAAUUCCUAG